CGGGAAGGGGAAUAACCAUCGAAAUGUAAAUAAGAAAUACUCAAGUUAAUAAAGAUAAAAAAAUUAUAUUUAAGCUGAAAAAUCUUGAUCCAUACUUUAAACCUAGCAAAGGCAGGUGAAUUUGAGUUUGAGGCCAACCUGAGCUACUUCAUAAUACUCUGUCUAAAAACAAACAAACAAAUAAAUUUGUGUUCAUUUACCAAAAAGAAGAAGAAGAAGAAGAAGAAGAAGAAGAAGAGGAAGAGGAAGAGGAAGAGGAAGAGGAAGAGGAAGAGGAAGAGGAAGAAGAAGAAGAAGAAGAAGAAGAAGAAGAAGAAGAAGAAGAAGAAGAAGAAGAAGAAGAAGAAGAAGAAGAAGAAGAAG
This 363-nucleotide long non-coding RNA is filed under the name Rattus norvegicus (Norway rat). Its description in RNAcentral is "long non-coding RNA NONRATT008591". The record is from RNAcentral. Lineage: Eukaryota; Metazoa; Chordata; Mammalia; Rodentia; Muridae.